UACGUAGGGGGCAAGCGUUGUCCGGAUUUAUUGGGCGUAAAGAGCGUGUAGGCGGUUAGGUAGGUCCGUUGUGAAAACUCGAGGCUCAACCUCGAGACGCCGAUGGAAACCAUCUAACUAGAGUCCGGAAGAGGAGAGUGGAAUUCCUGGUGUAGCGGUGGAAUGCGCAGAUAUCAGGAGGAACACCGAUAGCGAAGGCAGCUCGCUGGGACGGUACUGACGCUGAGGUGCGAAAGCGUGGGGAGCGAACAGG
Molecule: ribosomal RNA, 253 nt
Filed under: uncultured bacterium
Lineage: Bacteria
Description: partial 16S ribosomal RNA
Rfam family: Bacterial small subunit ribosomal RNA
Source: RNAcentral